UACAGAGGGUGCGAGCGUUAAUCGGAAUUACUGGGCGUAAAGCGUGCGUAGACGGUUAUUUAAGUCGGAUGUGAAAUCCCCAGGCUCAACCUGGGAACUGCGUCUGAUACUGGAUGGCUUGAAUCCGGGAGAGGGAUGCAGAAUUCCAGGUGUAGCGGUGAAAUGCGUAGAUAUCUGGAGGAAUACCGGUGGCGAAGGCGGCAUCCUGGACCGGCAUUGACGCUGAGGAGCGAAAGCCAGGGGAGCAAACGGG
Molecule: ribosomal RNA, 253 nt
Filed under: uncultured bacterium
Lineage: Bacteria
Description: partial 16S ribosomal RNA
Rfam family: Bacterial small subunit ribosomal RNA
Source: RNAcentral